RNAcentral lists this long non-coding RNA (1056 nucleotides) under Olea europaea subsp. europaea. Lineage: Eukaryota; Viridiplantae; Streptophyta; Magnoliopsida; Lamiales; Oleaceae. The record is from RNAcentral.
CUGACAUUUUAUAUUUGGUUUUCAUUUUGAAUGUCGUAUGUGUGUGGGUGGGUGGAGGGGGAUUGGGUUGGGUUUGGUUGAUUUUGUUUCUUGCCUAUUUAUGAAGAACAUAGUAUUGGUCCUCUGACCUUUUUCACCCCUUUGUGGAAAAUGAUUUUACCUUUCAAUCUUCUACUUCAUUGUUCUCAUUUGUUUCAAAAAUACAUGUCUACUAACUGUUUUAAAUACUCUUGUUGAUUACUCAAAAAUAUCAUAGGUCGCACCAUAUGAGAUAUAUCGGGUUGAUAAAUGUGACGACACAACUGCCACUUCUAUGCUAAACGAUGAAAAUACUCAUCAAUCAAAUGGGGACAUUGCAGCACAAGAGAACCAACUUGUGGGCCAGAAAGGAAAGGUGACAUAAUUCUACCUCUCUUAAACUGUUAAGAAUUGAAUUAUUCCUGAAGUGAGACAAUAACUCGUAGCAAUUUGGUAAAGAGUUCAAAAAAAUUGGAACAGGGUUACAGAAAGUAGCAAGAAGCAAACUUUUUACUUUCCACUAAAAGAACCGUUGAUAGACAUUGAUAGUAUAUGCAGACUCUGUUGUAUUAGCCCGACAAUAAAUUUCCCACAUAAUUAAUAAAUUCUAUCUGAGUGAUGACUUGACCUUUGAAGUUGAGUUCAUAUUUGAAAUUUUUUAUGAGGAAAUAAUUCCUAAUGAUGGAACCCAACCCUGAGUUGUCAUAAUAACAAUCUAACAAUUUAGAGGGAACAUCAAAUCAUGGCCACAUCAGUUAUUGGUAAUAGGUGUAUAUAAUGCGUGGUUCAGUUUUUAGUAAAUGGUUGUAGGUACUAAAUUUAAAUGUAACUGCCAGGAUGUGUUGGAUUUGAACUAUAACAAUUUAAAGGACUCUAGUUCAUAUUCCCUUUCUCAAGCCGCUAUUGGGGUUUUCACUAGUAUCACUUCAAGCCUAUUGGGGUCUUUGGGUUCAUCUGUUGUUUGUGGAUACAAACGUGCAUCAGGAGAUGGUCAAAAACUCGGUAUACCCAAUGAGGAGGAAGCUCUCGAACUUUGCA